RNAcentral lists this ribosomal RNA (611 nucleotides) under Euhadra idzumonis. Its description in RNAcentral is "partial 12S ribosomal RNA". Lineage: Eukaryota; Metazoa; Mollusca; Gastropoda; Stylommatophora; Camaenidae. The record is from RNAcentral.
GUGCAUAAUUUUAGAUAUAUUCAUUUUUUAUACUUAAUAAAUAAUUACAUUUAAGUCCUCCUUCAUACACUUUUAAAACAUGUACUCUGUAGUUCAUAACGUAACUCGCCUAAGCUUCAUAAUGGUCUGCACCUUGAUCUGUCCUGUUAGCUAUUAUACUAAUAUGAUAAUAUAUUCUAUAUUAUCUGUUGGCGACGGCAUACAAAAUAUUAUAUGAAGUAGAUUACCUUGGUGGUUAUCAAUUACUUGGUAAGUUCCCCUAAAUUUUAAAAUUACCGCCAUGCUAUUUGAGUUUUCACCAAUAAGGUCUUAGUGCUCAGUGUGUUGUUGUUGUGUAUUGAAUAAAAGGGUAUCUAAUCCUUGUUUUGUAGCAAUAUUUGGAAUUAAUUAGGUUAUUUAGGUUUAUAAUAUUAUUUCACCAAAAUUAUUUUAUAAACUAUAACACACUAUUGUGGUUUAUUACUAUUAAAGUCUGACCGCGACUGCUGGCACUUUUUAAGUCAUAGUAUUAAUAAUUGGUUUAAUCUUAUUUUCGUAAAUUUUAAAUUCUCUUGCCUGGUUAUCCCCUUUGAGUUCCAUUAGUAUCCUGUUUUUUAUAAACGAUGCACCAU